This 5060-nucleotide long non-coding RNA is filed under the name Sitophilus oryzae (rice weevil). RNAcentral's name for it is "uncharacterized LOC115880388, transcript variant X1". Lineage: Eukaryota; Metazoa; Arthropoda; Insecta; Coleoptera; Curculionidae. The record is from RNAcentral.
AUCCGCACGUCCUCCCGUCGGUUGCAUGGAUUUUUUAACUUUCUCACGAAAAAGUGCGUUUAGUGUACACAAUUUAUGCGUAAUCUGUUACUAGUGCCCUGCUUAGCCUCCUGAAAAAGCGCGUUAUAUUAAUACUACAACACCACACACUCCUUCCCCACUCACACGAGCAUUGCUAGCUCUCUGUGUUGGUUAAUAAAAUUUCCUAAUUCAACAUUAGUGAAUUUCGUUAGCCGAUGCAGUUGGUUAACAGUGUUUUUGUCGGUGUGGAUCCCCGGCUUAAGAUGACUCCAGAGCGCGGCGCGGCCUUCCCCAAGAGAGGAGACUUCUUGGGUCACCCCCUAACCCUGAUGUUCGGGCAUCGAUGACCUGUGUAGCAUGCAGAGGUACCCAAGGGAGUCACCACCCUCUGGUUUACGAGCUAGGUGUUCUAAUGCUAGAGGCUUCGGCCGGAUACAACUUGGCACCCAAGCUCCGAGAUUUCUUCGUGCACGUAUUCCGUGACCCUCGAAGAGGCAGGGGGCGGGAUAUCGGACACAUUGAAGAUGAUGAGGGGGGUCCGCCUGUAGGGGGUCCCGGUGGAUGUCCGUCCGACGGGUGACGAGGGUGACCCCAGACGAGGCGGCUUAAUUGGGAUGGGAACUGACUGGUGAGGCUUAAUCGUCGACCAAUGGGUCGAAUCUGCAUAAGGAAGGCAACCAGCACACACUCGCAGGCGGGUCGUGGAAACAUUUUUUUUUCUCUUGGUCUGCCCCGCGUCGAAUUUUGAAGGCAGAAAAUGUCGGGAGGAGGCGAGCAUAACCAGGCCUAACUUAAACCUGUUAAAAGACAACCCGGGUUCGCAGCGCGAUUUUUAAAAACUAAGAAGUCAGAAAUUCUAUCUACAUGCUGCAUAUGAUCAGUCCCAAAAAAUUUCGGAUUGUUUCAGGUACCGUCGAAUACCUGGAAAACGUGUUUAUUGUCAACUCUACAGGAUCGACCGAAGUCCAUGGAGUUGGGGGCAUUCGAUGUGCCCCAUAGCAGUGAGACGCCACUGUUUUUUCGCCGUAUAAUUAUUAUGGUGGGACUGAAAAUGAACUUAAGCAAGAUAUGAUGGUGAUACAGUAUGGCUUGGAGAAUUUCAAAAGUCGGUUCGCGUCGUGGUUCCAAAGCGGUAACUUUAGGUUCCCUACAUUUACAGAAUGUCGCAUUAAGUACUUAUUUUUUAAUUUGCAAUUUUUACAUUUCAUUUUUACUUUUUUUCUUACUCUAUACAAGGCUUUAAUAUAAAGUUUUUUUAGCAAUAAUAAAUGGGUAAUAAAAAAAUAUCUCCAAAAAGACAAAAUUAGGUAGCAUAUUGUUUUUCUAUUAUAUUUGGAAAUAACUAUUUUUGGUCUUAUUUUAAAAUUGAUAAUAUUAUUUAAUUUUUUUAAUAGUGAUUUUUAAUUAAACGUAAAUUAGUAAAUAAUGUAAUUUUACAUUAUAAUGAGAAUUAAAGUAUUAGUAAUUUAUUUUUGUUACUAAAAUUAAAUUCAGUUUGUUCCUGCCAUAAAUCUUUUUAGUACUUAACUGCUUUGGAAUGAAUUUUUUGGGGGGACAACAGCAGGAUUAGGGCCAUCUUCUAGAUGCCAUCAGGUAGGUGCGCUAGCGUAGUCGUUUGUUGUAGCAUUAUCCCUUUUCCCCCUUUUUAAAAAAUGUUUGUAAGACGCCUGAAAUUUGUAUAAGUUAGUUAUAUAAGUAGUUGAAUAAGAAUUGGUGAGACAUGGAAAGUAGAACAGGACAGAGAAGAUGAAAGAGGAUUGCUUUGAAAUAGAAGGAAAGGAGAUAGAAGAUGUUUGAGGAAAGGUGGAGGAUUUUGUUCGCUGUAACGGAAGUUUUUUGAAUGAAAUUUGGAGCAACUGUAUUAAGAUGUUAUUGGUAUCUUGGACGUCAAGUUUCAUUUAUUUAUGUAUUAUACAAGCAUAUCUAUUGGUGGAAAUGUAGAAUAGCAGAUGUUAUAACAACUUGGAUGAAUUAUUAGAAACACCAAAGAAGUUUUGACAUAAUUUAAACUGGGAAAAGGCUCACAGAUGACCAAUUUAUUCUACAGUAGAUACAGGACAUUAAAUUGACUUCAACAACGCAGAUAUCUCUCAAAAAUGAUAUUUGUUCGAGUGAUGUACUGGGCGUUGACAGUUGCUGUUACAAAUCUGCAAAUGAGUUAGAACUGUACAUAAGUUUGAUGAAUGCCGGAGGAAUUUUUUGAAUAAAUUGAUACUGAAAAUCUUACCCACAAAUGACAAUUUCAAGAUACAAUCAAUAGUACUUAGAUUGACUGGCCUUCAUUACCAAUGCGCUAUGAAAAUGUAAGCAAAACAAAUUGGUAUUAAUGGACGUUUUGACAGCUGUUUCCAGUCCAAGUUCCAGUUUUAAUGGAAAAUCUUUAAUGGACACAGAAAAAUGCCAUUUACUGGAUUGACUUCAACACCUGUUGCCUUUUAACAAUGGCAUACGAUAGGACAAUGGCUAUUAGAAACCGAUAAGACAUACUAGCUGCAAAUAAUAUGUAUGGUGGUCAUAAAAGAGAUUUAAAUGAAAUGAGAGAGAGAAACUCUUGUGCAGAAGAAAUCAAGGAAAACCAUUUUGAACUGCUGUUACUUAAUAGCUGUUAGAGCGGAUCCAGUUCUUCACCAAUAGUAUACGCUUGGGCAAUUGCUGUUGAAAAUCCACAAGCCGUACUAUCUGCAAAUAUUAUGGUGGUUAGGCUUUAAAAAGCUUUAAAUGGAAUGAAACUUGCAGGAAUAGACUCAGGAAGACCAUUUAGGACUGUACUUAAUAGCUGUUACUGUGGUCGCAGUCCUUUAUCAAUAAUAUCUCUGCAUUUUUCUUAACAAUGGAUAUCAACAGUAGCUCCUACUCCUCACUUUCUUCUUUCUCUCAACAUAAAGCAGACUCAGUACUCCUCAAUGCCUCACCAAGGUUCGUUAGCUUCAUUAAUAGUGUUAUUGUUUCAAUAAAUUUGUUUAUUGGUUUUUAUCUUCUUACUAUAUAAUUAUAUCAGGCGUCAUUUUAAUGUUAAUUUUUUGUAAAAUUUUGAUAAUCUGGAUAGAAACCUUUUUUCUUCUUAAGCUUUUGCAAUAUAAAACACUAGUUAAGAGCAAUACGCUUUAUUUUAUGAAUAGGACCAUUAUCUCUGUUGAUAUUGUCUUUAUAUUUAUGCUUUGUGUUGCCUCUAGUUUGAGGGACGUUUGAUUAAUUUUAAAUCAUUCAAAUCAAUGCAAUCAUCUUUAUGGAGGAUAUGUUGAGCAACAUGAUGCUAAUCUGUUAUAAUUUUUUCAUCUCAAGCUUUUUUUCAAUCUCACCUAUCUUAUAUUUACUUCCAUUAGUUCAAUCAUUAAAUUGUUAUUAAAUAAAACUAUAUUGUAUUCUGGAUUUCGUUAAAGGUAUUUUUAAAAUAUUUAAAAAACAAUCUUUAUAGGCUUGUAUCAUUUCCAAUUUAUUUUAUCUUUUACUUAAUUAUAUAACUAACUUCUUAAUUAUAUAACUAAACUUCUCUAAGUUUAUUCCAGAUUAUCAAAAUUAUAAUUUUUAUACUUGCGCAUCUGCGUCACUAUAGCCCUAUGAACACAAGUAUUAUUUUGGUUUUAAAGUUUAUAUUUUUUAAUAUUUCAUUUAUUGUAUUAACGCAAAACUAAAUUUUAUAGAAUUUAACUAACUAUAUCUUCAACCGGAUGAUAAUUUAAUAGUUAAUGGUCAUUUAAUAUUUUUUCAUAAACAUUAAAUGUGAUUAUUGAAUACCAAUGUUAAGCCAGUAGAAAUGAUUUAUUAGUGUUUAUUUUUUUGAAAUAUUUUUUUUAUUAAAUCAAUUUUGGAUACUUGUGUUCAUAUAGUUUUUUUUGCUUUUGAGAAUUAUUUUUGGUACCCUAACGCAGAUGUUUUUAAUCAAUUUAUAUGAUUUUAAAAUAUGUUUAUAUCUAUUUUGUAUUUAAAUUUUAGCGAUAAAGUUUGUUUCUUUAACACAGAGAGCAAUGCACUUCACGCAUUGUUUUCUUUUUUAUGUGCACAAUUUUCUUUAUAUACAGUAUGUUCUCAGAACGUCUUUACAAGAGCAAAAGCUUUUUUUUUAUUAAUAUUUUCAUAAAAAAUAUUUUUCUUUUUAAUAUUUUCAUUUCAAUUUCUUUAACAAAUAUAUUUUGAGCAUACAUUUUAAAAUUAUUUUUCAUAGAUAUACUGUGCGAUUCAAGUAUAUUUAUACUAAAUUUGUUUUUUUAAUGAAUUUUAACCUUUAGUAUUACUGGUUGUCUAAUCGAUUCUUAUGUAAUCUUAUGUAUGUGGUAAUGUUCUUAUUAUUUAAAAAAAAAUCUUAUUUCCAGUAGUAAUUUUUUCUCUCAAUUUUAGUAUUUAAAAUGUCUCUAUCUUGUCAUAUUUUUUUAACAUAUCUAUUAGACCUCUACUCAAACUUUAUCUCCUAAAAUUUAUGAAUUUUACAUAUGAAAAUGGUCUGCUAGGGUAUAUAAUAUAUUUAUUGUAGGAUCAGUUGAAAUAUCAUAAGUCAUAAUAUAAAAAUUCACAUUUAUAUAUACAUAUUUGUUAAAUAUAUAAUUUUAAGAUAAAACACAUUUUUACACAAAAAUAAUAAUUCUAGUUUUAUAUUAUGUGGCAUAUCUUUUUUCAGUUGGUCCUUCAACAUUUAAAAUCUUUUGACAUUUCAUUCCACUUAAAUGUCAAAAAUAUAUAUUUUAAUACCAAUUUUGUAUGUUAUUUGGUGUAUUAGAAUUUUAUAAAUAUUGUUUUUAAUAUUUUGUUAAUAAUAGUGAUCUAUAGCUUACCUUUGCUAUCUGUAAUAGGAAAUAUUUCUAAAUAUUUUUUGUUGAAAAUAAAUAUUACUUUAUAACAUUUAUUAAGCAAAAUAAAUUUGAAGAUCCCUAUUAUUAUCAAAGAGAUAUCAUUAAAGUGUUUCAAUACAAUAUCUUUUUUUUUUUUCAAACGUUACAAAACUAUUAAUUUUUAUGACAUGAUGACAACAUAUUGAUGACAUUAUAUUUUUUGCAACGUUUGAAAUUAUUUAACACAUUAUAUUUGACGUUUGAAAAAAGAACAUG